AAGUCGUAACAAGGUUUCCGUAGGUGAACCUGCGGAAGGAUCAUUAUUGAAAUAAACCUGAUGGGUUGUUGCUGGUUCUCUAGGGAGCAUGUGCACGCCUUGUCAUCUUUAUAUCUCCACCUGUGCACCUUUUGUAGGCCUUCCAGGUCUAUGUUGCUUUUUCAUUUACCCCAAUGUAUGUUAAUAGAAUGUUGUGCCUAUAAAAUCUAUACAACUUUCAGCAACGGAUCUCUUGGCUCUCGCAUCGAUGAAGAACGCAGCGAAAUGCGAUAAGUAAUGUGAAUUGCAGAAUUCAGUGAAUCAUCGAAUCUUUGAACGCACCUUGCGCUCCUUGGUAUUCCGAGGAGCAUGCCUGUUUGAGUGUCAUUAAUAUAUAUCAACCUUCUCAUUUCUGAGUGGUUUGGAUGUGGGGGUUUGCUGGCCUCUUAAAUGAGUUCAGCUCCUCUGAAAUGCAUUAGCAGAACAACCCUGUUCAUUGGCGUGAUAACUAUCUACGCUAUUGAAUGUGAGGGAUGGUUCAGCUUUCUAACAGUCCUUGGACAACUUAUCAUUUAUGUGACCUCAAAUCAGGUAGGACUACCCGCUGAACUUAAGCAUAUCAAUAAGCGGAGGAAAAGAAACUAACAAGGAUUCCCCUAGUAACUGCGAGUGAAGCGGGAAAAGCUCAAAUUUAAAAUCUG
RNAcentral lists this ribosomal RNA (680 nucleotides) under uncultured Cortinarius. Its description in RNAcentral is "eukaryotic LSU rRNA". The stretch from base 213 to 366 matches the Rfam family "5.8S ribosomal RNA". The record is from RNAcentral. Lineage: Eukaryota; Fungi; Basidiomycota; Agaricomycetes; Agaricales; Cortinariaceae.